CACUUCUGUAAAAUCGCACACCACAAGUAAUUCAUCAAUCACAACUUUUCUUUCAGCCUUCAUAGAAGCUAGUGUCAUAAACGCCUCAGCAUCCUCUUUCAUGAACUCAUCUACUUGCUUAGCAGGCACAAACAACUCAUCACUAGCAUCAAACUCCAGAAACGACACUGACUUAUCAAAACACUUGAUAUGAAAUUUGAAUCUUCAUCUUUAACAAACUCACGAAACAACAUUGAUUUACCCAACAACCUGCACUCUUGUAAACA
RNAcentral lists this long non-coding RNA (266 nucleotides) under Lathyrus oleraceus (garden pea). RNAcentral describes it as "Pisum sativum (pea) long non-coding RNA (PSAT_LNC018467)". The record is from RNAcentral. Lineage: Eukaryota; Viridiplantae; Streptophyta; Magnoliopsida; Fabales; Fabaceae.